UACGUAGGGAGCAAGCGUUGUCCGGAAUCAUUGGGCGUAAAGAGCGUGUAGGCGGCCCGAUAAGUCCGCCGUGAAAGUCCAGGGCUCAACCCUGGAAUGCCGGUGGAAACUGUCGGGCUAGAGUCCGGAAGAGGCGAGUGGAAUUCCUGGUGUAGCGGUGAAAUGCGCAGAUAUCAGGAGGAACACCAAUUGCGAAGGCAGCUCGCUGGGACGUAACUGACGCUGAGACGCGAAAGCGUGGGGAGCAAACAGG
RNAcentral lists this ribosomal RNA (253 nucleotides) under uncultured bacterium. Its description in RNAcentral is "partial 16S ribosomal RNA". It matches the Rfam family "Bacterial small subunit ribosomal RNA", at positions 524 to 776 of the family's 1533-position model. The record is from RNAcentral.